GGACGGGCUUGCUCGGUGCGGCGACCUCCUCGUCGUUGUCGAAGAGCACGAUGACGCUGCCCUCGUCGCAGCUGCGGUGCCGCUCGGCAAUCUCUUCCAGAGCACGGCGUUGGCGCUCCAUCUCUUACUUGACGUAAUCAGCGCGCGACCAGACGAGGCCGCUCUCGAGGUCGGCGGCUAUAUCCUUGUGCUCCUUUUUCACCACGACUGUCGGCUCCUUCUUCGGCUUCACCACGCGAAUGUGGUCGCGCGGAGGGGAAGGGAUGCGACCCUUGUUCAUGACAAGGUUGCCGCCACAACUGCGCCGGCGAAGUGGCAUCUCCUGUGGCGUCGGGCUUGACAGGAACGAGUGGCGCCGAUGUCUUAGAGGAGCGGGAGCUAGAGGACGGC
RNAcentral lists this long non-coding RNA (390 nucleotides) under Hordeum vulgare. RNAcentral describes it as "long non-coding RNA (HVUL_LNC007242)". The record is from RNAcentral. Lineage: Eukaryota; Viridiplantae; Streptophyta; Magnoliopsida; Poales; Poaceae.